AGAGUUUGAUCCUGGCUCAGAUUGAACGCUGGCGGCAGGCCUAACACAUGCAAGUCGAGCGGUAGCACAGAGAGCUUGCUCUCGGGUGACGAGCGGCGGACGGGUGAGUAAUGUCUGGGAAACUGCCUGAUGGAGGGGGAUAACUACUGGAAACGGUAGCUAAUACCGCAUAAUGUCGCAAGACCAAAGUGGGGGACCUUCGGGCCUCAUGCCAUCGGAUGUGCCCAGAUGGGAUUAGCUAGUAGGUGGGGUAACGGCUCACCUAGGCGACGAUCCCUAGCUGGUCUGAGAGGAUGACCAGCCACACUGGAACUGAGACACGGUCCAGACUCCUAUGGGAGGCAGCAGUGGGGAAUAUUGCACAAUGGGCGCAAGCCUGAUGCAGCCAUGCCGCGUGUGUGAAGAAGGCCUUCGGGUUGUAAAGCACUUUCAGCGGGGAGGAAGGCGGUGAGGUUAAUAACCUCAUCGAUUGACGUUACCCGCAGAAGAAGCACCGGCUAACUCCGUGCCAGCAGCCGCGGUAAUACGGAGGGUGCAAGCGUUAAUCGGAAUUACUGGGCGUAAAGCGCACGCAGGCGGUCUGUCAAGUCGGAUGUGAAAUCCCCGGGCUCAACCUGGGAACUGCAUCUGAUACUGGCAAGCUUGAGUCUCGUAGAGGGGGGUAGAAUUCCAGGUGUAGCGGUGAAAUGCGUAGAGAUCUGGAGGAAUACCGGUGGCGAAGGCGGCCCCCUGGACAAAGACUGACGCUCAGGUGCGAAAGCGUGGGGAGCAAACAGGAUUAGAUACCCUGGUAGUCCACGCUGUAAACGAUGUCGAUUUAGAGGUUGUGGUCUUGAACCGUGGCUUCUGGAGCUAACGCGUUAAAUCGACCGCCUGGGGAGUACGGCCGCAAGGUUAAAACUCAAAUGAAUUGACGGGGGCCCGCACAAGCGGUGGAGCAUGUGGUUUAAUUCGAUGCAACGCGAAGAACCUUACCUACUCUUGACAUCCAGCGAAUCCUUUAGAGAUAGAGGAGUGCCUUCGGGAACGCUGAGACAGGUGGUGCAUGGUUGUCGUCAGCUCGUGUCGUGAGAUGUUGGGUUAAGUCCCGCAACGAGCGCAACCCUUAUUGUUAGUUGCUACCAUUUAGUUGAGCACUCUAGCGAGACUGCCCGGGUUAACCGGGAGGAAGGUGGGGAUGACGUCAAAUCAUCAUGCCCCUUAUGUCUAGGGCUACACACGUGCUACAAUGGCCGGUACAGAGAGACGCGAUACCGCGAAGUGGAGCAAAACUUUAAAACCGGUCUCAGUUCGGAUUGUAGGCUGAAACUCGCCUACAUGAAGCUGGAGUUACUAGUAAUCGCGAAUCAGCAUGUCGCGGUGAAUACGUUCCCGGGCCUUGCACACACCGCCCGUCA
This 1397-nucleotide ribosomal RNA is filed under the name uncultured bacterium. RNAcentral describes it as "partial 16S ribosomal RNA". It matches the Rfam family "Bacterial small subunit ribosomal RNA". The record is from RNAcentral.